Molecule: ribosomal RNA, 443 nt
Filed under: uncultured bacterium
Lineage: Bacteria
Description: partial 16S ribosomal RNA
Rfam family: Bacterial small subunit ribosomal RNA
Source: RNAcentral
CCUACGGGUGGCAGCAGUGGGGAAUAUUGGGCAAUGGGCGCAAGCCUGACCCAGCAACGCCGCGUGAAGGAAGAAGGCUUUCGGGUUGUAAACUUCUUUUCUCAGGGACGAAGCAAGUGACGGUACCUGAGGAAUAAGCCACGGCUAACUACGUGCCAGCAGCCGCGGUAAUACGUAGGUGGCAAGCGUUAUCCGGAUUUAUUGGGUGUAAAGGGCGUGUAGGCGGGAAAGCAAGUCAGAUGUGAAAACCAUGGGCUCAACCUGUGGCCUGCAUUUGAAACUGUUUUUCUUGAGUGCUGGAGAGGAAGACGGAAUUCGUGGUGUAGCGGUGAAAUGCGUAGAUAUUAGGAGGAACACCAGUGGCGAAGGCGGUCUGCUGGAGAGCAACUGACGCUGAGGCGCGAAAGCGUGGGGAGCGAACAGGAUUAGAUACCCGUGUAGUC